CCUACGGGAGGCAGCAGUGGGGAAUAUUGGACAAUGGGGGCAACCCUGAUCCAGCCAUGCCGCGUGUGUGAAGAAGGCCCUCGGGUUGUAAAGCACUUUCAGUGAGGAAGAACGCCUGGUGGUUAAUACCCAUCAGGAAAGACAUCACUCACAGAAGAAGCACCGGCUAACUCCGUGCCAGCAGCCGCGGUAAUACGGAGGGUGCGAGCGUUAAUCGGAAUUACUGGGCGUAAAGCGCGCGUAGGUGGCUUGAUAAGCCGGUUGUGAAAGCCCCGGGCUCAACCUGGGAACGGCAUCCGGAACUGUCAAGCUAGAGCGCAGGAGAGGAAGGUAGAAUUCCCGGUGUAGCGGUGAAAUGCGUAGAGAUCGGGAGGAAUACCAGUGGCGAAGGCGGCCUUCUGGACUGACACUGACACUGAGGUGCGAAAGCGUGGGUAGCAAACAGGAUUAGAUACCCCAGUAGUC
Molecule: ribosomal RNA, 465 nt
Filed under: Vreelandella stevensii
Lineage: Bacteria; Pseudomonadati; Pseudomonadota; Gammaproteobacteria; Oceanospirillales; Halomonadaceae
Description: partial 16S ribosomal RNA
Rfam family: Bacterial small subunit ribosomal RNA
Source: RNAcentral